AAUAGAUACCCGGGUAGUCCACGCCGUAAACGAUGAGUGCUAAGUGUUAGAGGGUUUCCGCCCUUUAGUGCUGCAGCUAACGCAUUAAGCACUCCGCCUGGGGAGUACGGCCGCAAGGCUGAAACUCAAAGGAAUUGACGGGGGCCCGCACAAGCGGUGGAGCAUGUGGUUUAAUUCGAAGCAACGCGAAGAACCUUACCAGGUCUUGACAUCCUCUGCCAACCCUAGAGAUAGGGCGUUCCCCUUCGGGGGACAGAGUGACAGGUGGUGCAUGGUUGUCGUCAGCUCGUGUCGUGAGAUGUUGGGUUAAGUCCCGCAACGAGCGCAACCCUUGAUCUUAGUUGCCAGCAUUCAGUUGGGCACUCUAAGGUGACUGCCGGUGACAAACCGGAGGAAGGUGGGGAUGACGUCAAAUCAUCAUGCCCCUUAUGACCUGGGCUACACACGUGCUACAAUGGAUGGUACAAAGAGCUGCGAACCCGCGAGGGGAGCUAAUCCGAUAAAACCGUUCUCAGUUCGGAUUGUAGGCUGCAACUCG
This 538-nucleotide ribosomal RNA is filed under the name uncultured bacterium. Its description in RNAcentral is "bacterial SSU rRNA". It matches the Rfam family "Bacterial small subunit ribosomal RNA", at positions 777 to 1314 of the family's 1533-position model. The record is from RNAcentral.